GCGGCGUGCCUAAGACAUGCAAGUCGUGCGAGAAAGGGGCUUCGGCCCCGAGUACAGCGGCAUACGGGUGAGUAACGCGUGGGCAACCUACCUCGAGGUCUGGGAUAACCUGGGGAAACCCGAGCUAAUACCGGAUGAGCCCACGAGGUCUUUGGACCUCGCGGGAAAAGAUGGCCUCUGCUUGCAAGCUAUCACCACGAGAUGGGCCCGCGUCCCAUUAGCUAGUUGGCGAGGUAACGGCUCACCAAGGCGACGAUGGGUAGCUGGUCUGAGAGGACGAUCAGCCACACUGGGACUGAGACACGGCCCAGACUCCUACGGGAGGCAGCAGUCGGGAAUCUUGGGCAAUGGGCGCAAGCCUGACCCAGCGACGCCGCGUGAGGGAUGAAGGCCUUCGGGUCGUAAACCUCUGUCAGGAGGGAAGAACGGCGGCCAGGUGAAUAAUCUGGCUGUCUGACGGUACCUCCGAAGGAAGCGCCGGCUAACUCCGUGCCAGCAGCCGCGGUAAUACGGAGGGCGCAGCGUUGUUCGGAAUCACUGGGCGUAAAGCGCGUGUAGGCGGCCGGGCAAGUCGGAUGUGAAAUCCGAGGCUCACCUCGGAACUGCACUCGAAACUGCUC
RNAcentral lists this ribosomal RNA (620 nucleotides) under uncultured bacterium. RNAcentral's name for it is "bacterial SSU rRNA". It matches the Rfam family "Bacterial small subunit ribosomal RNA", at positions 39 to 638 of the family's 1533-position model. The record is from RNAcentral.